Long non-coding RNA from Pieris rapae (cabbage white), 915 nucleotides. RefSeq lists it as uncharacterized. The transcript has 3 exons. The record is from RefSeq and is a predicted model, not a curated record. NCBI's taxonomy places the organism in Eukaryota, Metazoa, Arthropoda, Insecta, Lepidoptera, Pieridae.
UCUCAUAUGGCAAUUUCCGUCAAAUUAAAACGAGAUCAGGUCAUAAACUCAAAAUUUUUUAGAGAUCUGUCAACAGAUUCUUAGAUUUUGUGAUCAAAAAGCCACUUCGAUCUCAAACGAGUAAUAUUGUUUUCAAAGUUUAUAGUAAAAUAAAAGAAGACGGUGUAAAUAAAACUCAAUCUUUAAUUUUAAAGCGGGUGCUAAAUAAAGUUAACCGGGGCUACCAGUACUACUACUUAUUCGACGUAACGUAGCCGAGGGUACAUCGAAAGAUGACAUAUUUUCCACACCUGGUUAAAAGAGAUGAAAGGGACAGAAGAAAAUCAACUUGAAAGAAUAAAGAAAUUCUAAACAGUGGAAAUACAUUUCCAACUGUAAUAAAACUGUUACAAAUUCUUCGAUAAGAUAGUGAUAUUAACGCACGUAGAGAAUCUCUCGUGAUUGAUGAGAUUGAGAUGAAUUCGCAUGAGAUUGCGGUAUUCUAUUUCAACCUUUGCAGAUAAAAAUCACGUAGGUAGGUAUAAUCAAAUAUGUAGUAAUAAAAAUAAUCCAUUAUUUCGAGUAGUCCGGAAUGGAUCGCUUCGUUUCUUUAGAUACCUAAAUAAUAAUGUUAUGUCGAAAUAAUAACAUCAAUUCUAAACAAAAGGCCUACUAUUAAAUAUUGAUAAGCCACACUUAGAAGGCGCGGCUCUAAGAAGAUUAAUUCAAAUGAAAAUAAGAUAGCUUUGACGGCAUGGACCGCAAGCAUGAAGUUCAUGAAGCAUGGGCGUGUUAAAUGCUGGAUUUUGAUUGGCUGUUCUUUUGCGUCAUGCUUGUCAGAUAGGAUUACCUUUAUGAUGUUUUGAAGUCCUCUUAAGUGCUGAUGACAAUAAUAUAGAGAUACGGAAGCUGAAUAAACGGUAUUUUUAUACACAA